Ribosomal RNA from Hucho hucho (huchen), 124 nucleotides. The record is from Ensembl. Lineage: Eukaryota; Metazoa; Chordata; Actinopteri; Salmoniformes; Salmonidae.
UGCUGGUGUCAUACCACCCUGCAUCCCACUCCUGGCUUGCUUCUGAAGCUAAGAAGGGUUGGUCCUGGUCAGUCCCUGGAUGGGAGACCAGAUGCUGCUGGAAGUGGUGUUGGAGGGCCAGUAG